AUGUGGUUCCGACUAUGCUUUUGGAGUGCAACAGCUGAAAAAUUAACAUCUCAGCUCAAGGAAGCUUCCCCCAGGAUUACAUGUCAAGGAUUGGUAUUCAGUUAUUCACAUGCUGGCUUCUUGUACUGUCCCUCGCUGGUGUUGAGAGAAAUUAUGUCAAUGUCGGCGAGUUCGAAGGGCACCGUCACUGCUCCACGACUGCCUGCUUGGGUACUUAUCCCCUGGAGCCUGGACAUGAUGCCAGGGCUGCAGUCGAUCACGUCGUCAAACAGGCCGAUGGCAAGGUCGGCCGACCUGCUGUCAACAUCGCGAAGUACUAGCAGGAUGAGCUCAUGGAGCUGCGCCAGAAGCUCCUGCUGCCGGCUUCCUCAAACCCAGAUUUCCUUCUUAUUUUUCCCAUGUUCGUUUUCAGUUCGGAGCUGCCUCUUGGAGAGUAGCAGAUUGCUGAAAUGA
Molecule: ribosomal RNA, 453 nt
Filed under: Triticum aestivum (bread wheat)
Lineage: Eukaryota; Viridiplantae; Streptophyta; Magnoliopsida; Poales; Poaceae
Description: partial small subunit ribosomal RNA
Source: RNAcentral